Long non-coding RNA from Aricia agestis (brown argus), 83 nucleotides. RefSeq lists it as uncharacterized. The record is from RefSeq and is a predicted model, not a curated record. The transcript is spliced from 3 exons. Lineage: Eukaryota; Metazoa; Arthropoda; Insecta; Lepidoptera; Lycaenidae.
UAUUAUACAAUGUGUCCCGACACUGGUGUCCGAUCCCUUAAUGUCAUGAUGUAUGACAUAUUUUAUCCACAAACUAUAGCCGU